GACGUAGGGUGCGAGCGUUGUCCGGAUUUAUUGGGCGUAAAGAGCUCGUAGGCGGCUCGUCGCGUCGACCGUGAAAACCCGCAGCUUAACUGCGGGCUUGCGGUUGAUACGGGCGGGCUAGAGUUCGGUAGGGGAGACUGGAAUUCCUGGUGUAGCGGUGAAAUGCGCAGAUAUCAGGAGGAACACCGAUGGCGAAGGCAGGUCUCUGGGCAUUAACUGACGCUGAGGAGCGAAAGCAUGGGGAGCGAACAGG
RNAcentral lists this ribosomal RNA (253 nucleotides) under uncultured bacterium. RNAcentral describes it as "partial 16S ribosomal RNA". It matches the Rfam family "Bacterial small subunit ribosomal RNA", at positions 524 to 776 of the family's 1533-position model. The record is from RNAcentral.